UAAGAGUAUUCGUUUCAGUAAAACAUCCAAAGUGUCGCCUCGCCAAAUUACGUACAUUUUCAUUUAUUUCCAAAAAAUCAAUGAAAUAGAAGGAAAUAAUGGCUAAGAAUGUUCGAAUUAAAUGAUUGCCCCAAUAAUUUCUACCUGACGUGGAAUCUGCGGUAGGUAAUCAUUUCACAAUUAUUAGUGGUAAACAAAGUUCAGUAAAUUAGUAAACACGGUCAGAGGCUGUCUCAAAACAUAAUCCAAACCACUUGUCUGGGAUAGAGAAGUAAAACAAAUGUUGGUGAUUCACAGGAAUAUUGGUACUACCUACUCUGCGCACGACUAGUAAAUCGCAACUAAGAGAAAAUGUUGUUUCUCCAACGAUGAGUUAGAAGCAAAUGAACAGACGAAUAAACGAUUUGGAGGCCAUGAUUUUAAUUCACCCAGAAAAGCCUUAGAUACCCGAAAAUGUCUAAUUCACACACACUCAUGGGAUUAUAAUACUUAUAAUGUUUUUUCAAAACUGAAAUAUAUGAUGUACCACAUACACGGAACUGCGAAGUGGAGCAAAUGCAUUGACAAAUUUUCAGACGUUGACUUUCUUGGAGAUAAUUCUACCGACUCAUAUGAAGCCAUACAAUAUUGGAGAGAAUUAUGAAACUUAAAGGUAAUACAAUUUUGCUGAGCAAGAAUCCAAUUUUAAUAACGCGGCGGGCUUCAACAUAUUUAUAUUGCAAAGAAACACAUAACUAGUUUGGACAUUGGUAUCUUUUCUGAAGGGAAAGUGCAUCUAGUUGGAUGCGUUAAACAGGUUGUCAAACCCGUUCCCAUUUGCUACGAGGAGAGACAAACUUCUUUGAAAAAACAUUAUGCAAUUACCAAAAAGCUUCAGUGGCUGUUAUUAAAAUUCUUCAACUAUCGACAUUGCACAUAAUUGAUGCAACUUUUCAACUAGGUAUAUUCUGAUAGGUACCUAUUUCCUUUAAUUUGUGUACUUAUUUUACCUAUUUUUCCCCCCACCACCCAUCAGAAAGUGAUUAUUUAGUUUAUUUAAC
Long non-coding RNA from Acyrthosiphon pisum (pea aphid), 1040 nucleotides. RefSeq lists it as uncharacterized. NCBI's taxonomy places the organism in Eukaryota, Metazoa, Arthropoda, Insecta, Hemiptera, Aphididae. The transcript is spliced from 6 exons. The record is from RefSeq and is a predicted model, not a curated record.